Molecule: ribosomal RNA, 498 nt
Filed under: uncultured bacterium
Lineage: Bacteria
Description: bacterial SSU rRNA
Rfam family: Bacterial small subunit ribosomal RNA
Source: RNAcentral
AGCGAACGCUGGCGGCAGGCCUAACACAUGCAAGUCGAGCGCCCCGCAAGGGGAGCGGCAGACGGGAGAGUAACACGUGGGAACGUACCCUUCAGUUCGGAACAACCCAGGGAAACUUGGGCUAAUACCGAAUACGUCCGUAAGGAGAAAGAUUUAUCGCUGAAGGAUCGGCCCGCGUCUGAUUAGCUAGUUGGUGAGGUAACGGCUCACCAAGGCGACGAUCAGUAGCUGGUCUGAGAGGAUGAUCAGCCUCACUGGGACUGAGACACGGCCCAGACUCCUACGGGAGGCAGCAGUGGGGAAUAUUGGACAAUGGGCGCAAGCCUGAUCCAGCCAUGCCGCGUGGGUGAUGAAGGCCCUAGGGUUGUAAAGCCCUUUCGGCGGGGAAGAUAAUGACGGUACCCGCAGAAGAAGCCCCGGCUAACUUCGUGCCAGCAGCCGCGGUAAUACGAAGGGGGCUAGGCGUUGCUCGGAAUCACUGGGCGUAAAGCGCACGUA